AUUGAACGCUGGCGGCAGGCCUAACACAUGCAAGUCGAACGGUAACAGGAAGAAGCUUGCUUCUUUGCUGACGAGUGGCGGACGGGUGAGUAAUGUCUGGGAAACUGCCUGAUGGAGGGGGAUAACUACUGGAAACGGUAGCUAAUACCGCAUAACGUCGCAAGACCAAAGAGGGGGACCUUCGGGCCUCUUGCCAUCGGAUGUGCCCAGAUGGGAUUAGCUAGUAGGUGGGGUAACGGCUCACCUAGGCGACGAUCCCUAGCUGGUCUGAGAGGAUGACCAGCCACACUGGAACUUGGACACGGUCCAGACUCCUACGGGAGGCAGCAGUGGGGAAUAUUGCACAGUGGGCGCAAGCCUUAUGCAGCCAUGCCGCGUGUAUGAAGAAGGCCUUCGGGUUGUAAAGUACGUUCAGCGGGGAGGAAGGGAGUAAAGUUAAUACCUUUACUCAUUGACGUUACCCGCAGAAGAAGCACCGGCUAACUCCGUG
RNAcentral lists this ribosomal RNA (490 nucleotides) under uncultured bacterium. Its description in RNAcentral is "partial 16S ribosomal RNA". It matches the Rfam family "Bacterial small subunit ribosomal RNA", at positions 30 to 507 of the family's 1533-position model. The record is from RNAcentral.